UACAGAGGUCUCAAGCGUUGUUCGGAUUCAUUGGGCGUAAAGGGUGCGUAGGCGGCGCGGUAAGUCGGGUGUGAAAUCUUGGAGCUUAACUCCGAAACUGCAUUCGAUACUGCCGUGCUUGAGGACUGGAGAGGAGACUGGAAUUUACGGUGUAGCGGUGAAAUGCGUAGAUAUCGUAAGGAAGACCAGUGGCGAAGGCGGGUCUCUGGACAGUUCCUGACGCUGAGGCACGAAGGGCAGGGGAGCAAACGGG
Molecule: ribosomal RNA, 253 nt
Filed under: uncultured bacterium
Lineage: Bacteria
Description: partial 16S ribosomal RNA
Rfam family: Bacterial small subunit ribosomal RNA
Source: RNAcentral